Molecule: long non-coding RNA, 571 nt
Filed under: Solanum tuberosum (potato)
Lineage: Eukaryota; Viridiplantae; Streptophyta; Magnoliopsida; Solanales; Solanaceae
Description: long non-coding RNA (STUB_LNC002293)
Source: RNAcentral
UUUUCUCAGAUGGGCUUGUGUAACACUCCUUCGGUUUUGAUGAUGUUUUCGACACCAUUCUACUAAUAAUAUUAUUUUAUACAAUUGCUUGCAGGUUCCAAAUUGAAUUCAUUUAAGUAAUCAAAUUUGAACUUUGAUGUGAUGAUUACUCUUAUCAAACUACUUGUGUUAAUUCAAUUUCUUCAUUAAUGUUUUUUCCACUACCACUUACACUUAGAUCAUGAAUAAGUGAAAUCAACAUUUUUAAUUCUUUCUGCUAUAUCACAUGGGUUGGAGAGUAUACAUAGGACUUCCAUACAUCCUAAUAUUCCAUGUGACAUUAGAGUUCAACUGCGGAUGCUAAUACUUCCUGUUCUGUGCCUGCUUGCCAAUCGGUGAGCAAACUUUAUGUGCCUGCCCUUGAGUUCCCUUUUAUUUACACAGAGGAAAACAAAGGGUAUCUAGGAGCUAAUGAUGAGAAUAAUUCCUCAACUUUCUUGCUGUUGUGAUGGAGUGAGGUUUUUCCCCCUCUUUUCUUGCUUUCGCUGUGCUGUAGAUUUUGCUUGUUGUGUGCCUAGCCCCCCCCCCCCCC